This 429-nucleotide ribosomal RNA is filed under the name uncultured prokaryote. RNAcentral's name for it is "bacterial SSU rRNA". It matches the Rfam family "Bacterial small subunit ribosomal RNA", at positions 355 to 774 of the family's 1533-position model. The record is from RNAcentral.
CUAAGAAUAUUCCGCAAUGGACGAAAGUCUGAGGGAGCGACGCCGCGUGAGGGAUGAAGGCCCUUUGGGUUGUAAACCUCUGUUAGGGGGAAAGAACAGCAGUGGAAGCAACAUGUCCAUUGCCUGACGUUACCCCCAGAGAAAGCUCCGGCCAACUCCGUGCCAGCAGCCGCGGUAAUACGGGGGGAGCAAGCGUUGUCCGGAAUCAUUGGGCGUAAAGGGCGUGUAGGCGGUUAGGCAAGUCGAAUGUGAAAUCCCACGGCUCAACCGUGGAACUGCGUUCGAAACUGCCCUACUUGAGUGCGGGAGAGGUGUGCGGAAUUCCUGGUGUAGCGGUGGAAUGCGUAGAUAUCAGGAAGAACACCGGUGGCGAAGGCGGCACACUGGCCCAGCACUGACGCUGAGGCGCGAAAGCGUGGGGAGCGAACG